CGCGGGAUGGAGNCUGGUUAGAGCUCUCGGCUCAUAACCGAGUGGUCGUAGGUUCAAAUCCUGCUCCCGCAA
RNAcentral lists this transfer RNA (72 nucleotides) under Streptococcus pneumoniae. Its description in RNAcentral is "tRNA-Met(cat)". It matches the Rfam family "tRNA". From Rfam's summary of the family: Transfer RNA (tRNA) molecules are approximately 80 nucleotides in length. Lineage: Bacteria; Bacillati; Bacillota; Bacilli; Lactobacillales; Streptococcaceae. The record is from RNAcentral.